GAAAUGCGAUAAGUAAUGUGAAUUGCAGAAUUCAGUGAAUCAUCGAAUCUUUGAACGCACCUUGCGCUCCUUGGUAUUCCUUGGAGCAUGCCUGUUUGAGUAUCAUGAAAUCUUCAAAGUAAAUCUUUUGUUAACUCAAUUGGUUUCUACUUUGGUAUUGGAGGUCUUUGCAGCUUCACACCUGCUCCUCUUUGUUCAGUAGCUGGAUCUCAGUGUUAUGCUUGGUUCCACUCGGCGUGAUAAGUUAUCUAUCGCUGAGGACACUGUAAAAGGUGGCCAAGGUAAAUGCAGAUGAACCGCUUCUAAUAGUCCAUUGACUUGGACAAUACUUUUAUGAUCUGAUCUCAAAUCAGGUAGGACUACCCGCUGAACUUAAGC
RNAcentral lists this unclassified non-coding RNA (378 nucleotides) under plant metagenome. RNAcentral's name for it is "partial contains 5.8S ribosomal RNA, internal transcribed spacer 2, and large subunit ribosomal RNA". The stretch from base 1 to 105 matches the Rfam family "5.8S ribosomal RNA", at positions 50 to 154 of the family's 154-position model. The record is from RNAcentral.